GCAUAUGUGUAUCCUUCGCGCUUCCAUAUUACCCACAAUCCUAUGCGCGCGGCUUUGCUGGCUCGUUAAAAAAAAUUAAAUGGCGGACCUAAGCGGGAGUUGGAGCGGCAUCGCUGACGACGAAAUAAUCAUUUAACUGGACAAACGAAGGCGGUCACUGAUGAUGGGAAAGCAAAAAACAAGCAGGGAGACUGGCCAAAGAGAGACGUUGAAUAGAUUAUUUGCUAUAGCCUAUUAGAGAUUGGCAUUCUGAAAAUAAAUGCAUUAAAU
Sander lucioperca (pikeperch) is the source of this 270-nucleotide long non-coding RNA. RefSeq lists it as uncharacterized. The record is from RefSeq and is a predicted model, not a curated record. Lineage: Eukaryota; Metazoa; Chordata; Actinopteri; Perciformes; Percidae. The transcript is spliced from 2 exons.